This 649-nucleotide ribosomal RNA is filed under the name uncultured bacterium. RNAcentral describes it as "bacterial SSU rRNA". It matches the Rfam family "Bacterial small subunit ribosomal RNA", at positions 188 to 851 of the family's 1533-position model. The record is from RNAcentral.
CAUGGGGCAGGGGUCAAAGGAGGAAUCCGGAUAAAGAUGGGCUCGCGUCCGAUUAGCUAGUUGGUGAGAUAACAGCCCACCAAGGCGACGAUCGGUAGCCGACCUGAGAGGGUGAUCGGCCACAUUGGAACUGAGAGACGGUCCAGACUCCUACGGGAGGCAGCAGUGGGGAAUAUUGGGCAAUGGGCGAAAGCCUGACCCAGCAACGCCGCGUGAGGGAAGAAGGGUUUCGGCUCGUAAACCUCUGUCCUAUGGGACGAAGGAAGUGACGGUACCAUAGGAGGAAGCCCCGGCUAACUACGUGCCAGCAGCCGCGGUAAUACGUAGGGGGCGAGCGUUGUCCGGAAUGAUUGGGCGUAAAGGGCGCGUAGGCGGCCUGCUAAGUCUGAAGUGAAAGUCCUGCUUUCAAGGUGGGAAGUGCUUUGGAUACUGGUGGGCUGGAGUGCAGGAGAGGAAAGCGGAAUUACCGGUGUAGCGGUGAAAUGCGUAGAGAUCGGUAGGAACACCAGUGGCGAAGGCGGCUUUCUGGACUGAAACUGACGCUGAGGCGCGAAAGCGUGGGGAGCAAACAGGAUUAGAUACCCUGGUAGUCCACGCGGUAAACGAUGAAUACGAGGUGUAGGAGGUAUCGACCCCUUCUGUGCCGCAG